RNAcentral lists this ribosomal RNA (465 nucleotides) under uncultured bacterium. Its description in RNAcentral is "partial 16S ribosomal RNA". It matches the Rfam family "Bacterial small subunit ribosomal RNA", at positions 28 to 507 of the family's 1533-position model. The record is from RNAcentral.
GACGAACGCUGGCGGCGUGCUUAACACAUGCAAGUCGAACGGAAAGGCCCUGCUUGCCGGGUACUCGAGUGGCGAACGGGUGAGUAACACGUGGGUGCUCUGCCCUGCACUUCGGGAUAAGCCUGGGAAACUGGGUCUAUUACCGGAUAGGAGCCAUUUUUAGUGUGAUGGUUGGAAAGUUUUUUCGGUGUAGGAUGAGUUCGCGGCCGUUCAGCUUGCUGGUGGGGUAAUGGCCUACCCAGGCGGCGGCGGGGAGCCGGCCUGGGAGGGUGGACGGCCACAUUGGGACUGGAGUACGGGCCCGACUCCUUCGGGAGGCAGCAGGGGGGAAUAUUGGACAAUGGGGGGAAGCCUGAUGCAACGACGGCGGGGGGAGGAUGACGGCCUUCGGGUUGGAAACCCCUUUCGCUAGGGACGAAGCUUUUUGUGACGGUACCUAGAUAAGAAGCACCGGCUAACUACGUG